UUGCUUAGAUUCUUCGGAUGAAGAGGAUUGUGACUGAGCGGCGGACGGGUGAGUAACGCGUGGGUAACCUGCCUCAUACAGGGGGAUAACAGUUAGAAAUGACUGCUAAUACCGCAUAAGACCACAGCACCGCAUGGUGCGGGGGUAAAAACUCCGGUGGUAUGAGAUGGACCCGCGUCUGAUUAGCUAGUUGGUAAGGUAACGGCUUACCAAGGCGACGAUCAGUAGCCGACCUGAGAGGGUGACCGGCCACAUUGGGACUGAGACACGGCCCAAACUCCUACGGGAGGCAGCAGUGGGGAAUAUUGCACAAUGGGGGAAACCCUGAUGCAGCGACGCCGCGUGAGCGAAGAAGUAUUUCGGUAUGUAAAGCUCUAUCAGCAGGGAAGAAAAUGACGGUACCUGACUAAGAAGCACCGGCUAAAUACGUGCCAGCAGCCGCGGUAAUACGUAUGGUGCAAGCGUUAUCCGGAUUUACCGGGUGUAAAGGGAGCGUAGACGGAUGGGCAAGUCUGAUGUGAAAACCCGGGGCUCAACCCCGGGACUGCAUUGGAAACUGUUCAUCUAGAGUGCUGGAGAGGUAAGUGGAAUUCCUAGUGUAGCGGUGAAAUG
This 612-nucleotide ribosomal RNA is filed under the name uncultured bacterium. Its description in RNAcentral is "bacterial SSU rRNA". It matches the Rfam family "Bacterial small subunit ribosomal RNA", at positions 64 to 688 of the family's 1533-position model. The record is from RNAcentral.